Molecule: ribosomal RNA, 331 nt
Filed under: uncultured bacterium
Lineage: Bacteria
Description: bacterial SSU rRNA
Rfam family: Bacterial small subunit ribosomal RNA
Source: RNAcentral
UGUGUAGGCGGUUCUCCAAGUUUGGUGUGAAAUCUCCCGGCUCAACCGGGAGGGUGCGCCGAAAACUGGAGGGCUGGAGUGCGGGAGGGGAGAGUGGAAUUCCUGGUGUAGCGGUGAAAUGCGUAGAUAUCAGGAGGAACACCGGUGGUGUAGACGGCUCUCUGGACCGUAACUGACGCUGAGACACGAAAGCGUGGGUAGCAAACAGGAUUAGAUACCCUGGUAGUCCACGCCCUAAACGAUGCAUAUUUGGUGUGGGUCAUUCAGUUGAUCCGUGCCGGAGCUAACGCGUUAAAUAUGCCGCCUGGGGAGUACAGUCGCAAGGCUAGAA